Molecule: ribosomal RNA, 618 nt
Filed under: Enterobacter asburiae
Lineage: Bacteria; Pseudomonadati; Pseudomonadota; Gammaproteobacteria; Enterobacterales; Enterobacteriaceae
Description: bacterial SSU rRNA
Rfam family: Bacterial small subunit ribosomal RNA
Source: RNAcentral
GCGCACGCAGCGCGGUCUGUCAAGUCGGAUGUGAAAUCCCCGGGCUCAACCUGGGAACUGCAUUCGAAACUGGCAGGCUAGAGUCUUGUAGAGGGGGGUAGAAUUCCAGGUGUAGCGGUGAAAUGCGUAGAGAUCUGGAGGAAUACCGGUGGCGAAGGCGGCCCCCUGGACAAAGACUGACGCUCAGGUGCGAAAGCGUGGGGAGCAAACAGGAUUAGAUACCCUGGUAGUCCACGCCGUAAACGAUGUCGACUUGGAGGUUGUGCCCUUGAGGCGUGGCUUCCGGAGCUAACGCGUUAAGUCGACCGCCUGGGGAGUACGGCCGCAAGGUUAAAACUCAAAUGAAUUGACGGGGGCCCGCACAAGCGGUGGAGCAUGUGGUUUAAUUCGAUGCAACGCGAAGAACCUUACCUACUCUUGACAUCCAGAGAACUUUCCAGAGAUGGAUUGGUGCCUUCGGGAACUCUGAGACAGGUGCUGCAUGGCUGUCGUCAGCUCGUGUUGUGAAAUGUUGGGUUAAGUCCCGCAACGAGCGCAACCCUUAUCCUUUGUUGCCAGCGGUUAGGCCGGGAACUCAAAGGAGACUGCCAGUGAUAAACUGGAGGAAGGUGGGGAUGA